CGUCCAGAAUAGUGUUCUUUUAUUCUCACCAUCACACAAUACAAAAUGUCUCAGAAGUUCACAACAUUACAAAGUUGAAUCAAGAGCCUAUGAUACUCUUGUGCAUCAUCAAUUCAUCAUGUUACUUUCACACAAAUAUAACAAAUCCGCUUAGGCGCUCUAAUAGUGAAAGGAGCUAUAGCCUCAAGCUUUGGCAAGUUUGAGAAUUGUUGCUGUUGUCUCCGGUGAGAUACAAUAAGAUAUGAUUCUAGAAUGUAAACUUGAUGUCUAUACCACUCUAAAUAUAAGUAUUGUUUAUUUAAAUUCAUUCAAGUAUGUUUUUUUUUUGAAUUGAAUGUAAAAUU
RNAcentral lists this long non-coding RNA (344 nucleotides) under Capsella rubella. Its description in RNAcentral is "long non-coding RNA (CRUB_LNC000757)". The record is from RNAcentral. Lineage: Eukaryota; Viridiplantae; Streptophyta; Magnoliopsida; Brassicales; Brassicaceae.